Molecule: ribosomal RNA, 274 nt
Filed under: uncultured bacterium
Lineage: Bacteria
Description: partial 16S ribosomal RNA
Rfam family: Bacterial small subunit ribosomal RNA
Source: RNAcentral
AUACGAAGGGGGCUAGCGUUGUUCGGAAUUACUGGGCGUAAAGCGCGCGUAGGCGGACUGAUCAGUUGGGGGUGAAAUCCCAGGGCUUAACCCUGGAACUGCCUCCAAUACUGUCAGUCUUGAGUUCGGGAGAGGUGAGUGGAAUUCCUAGUGUAGAGGUGAAAUUCGUAGAUAUUAGGAAGAACACCAGUGGCGAAGGCGGCUCACUGGCCCGAUACUGACGCUGAUGCGCGAAAGCGUGGGGAGCAAACAGGAUUAGAAACCCUAGUAGUCC